This is a long non-coding RNA of Culex quinquefasciatus (southern house mosquito), 480 nucleotides long. RefSeq lists it as uncharacterized. The transcript is spliced from 3 exons. NCBI's taxonomy places the organism in Eukaryota, Metazoa, Arthropoda, Insecta, Diptera, Culicidae. The record is from RefSeq and is a predicted model, not a curated record.
AGCCAAGGAUUGACUAGGGCAAACCCGGUAGAAAAGCCUACCGAAGCUUAAAACCUGUUACAAAACCGCCCAUUAGUUAAUCUCCGGCAUCUCCUCUGACCUUCGCGGGUGUGUUCUUUGCGACUUUCCGAAGGUGAAUUUGCCCACCUCCCAGCGUGGGUGCGAGUUGGGGCACGACCGAUUGCCAGCUGAACAUCACGAUUGGCCCGUUCGCGGACGAGCAUUGCCGGUGAGGCACGCGGAUUGGCCUCGUGGAGGAGAUUUGGCCCAUUUGAGCACCGCAACGCAACCUAGGACGCUCAAAUUGUAGGCCCGGUCGGCCAUCUUGCGAAUAUUGUUGUCCAAUUGUCGUUUGGAGGCAACAAAACCAUCGAAACACGUGCUCGCCAUCGUACAAAAGUGUGAACACGCGGUGAUUUCGAGUGCUUGACGACCACUGACUGCGAGCGACCAGCCGAUACGCUCAUUUUCCGGCUUUGC